UCCAUCUCAAAAAAAUAAAAAAUAAAUAAAUAAAACCAUUUAGAAGAAGAAAAGCAGUGUGAAUGGGAAAAAACAAAGUUACUUAAGUAGUUUCAGUGAUUCAUUCUUUUUUAGUCUUCCUAUAGUUCCUGAACAAGAAUACCUGGAUGAAAAAGAAGCAGUUAUGCUUGCUUAGAACUUUAAAAUAAAUCAGAUUAUACAUGAUGAUGAAAUCGCCAAAUCAGUAUCUUACCUUACAGGAAGUGUUUCUCAUGUUUCUGAAGAGGAUCCUGAUAAUAAAUAUGACAGGACACUUGAUGAGGAUGAGGAGGAUACAUUUGCAAAAAUUACUAAAAAUAUGAAGAAUAUCUGACUAGAAUUGUGUGAACUGUAAGCUAUAAUGUGUAACCUUGGUUAUUAUAACAACUUAAAGCCAACAGCAUUUAUAGUCUUACUGUACAUAAUUUUCUUGGUGGAGAUAGUUUUAGAGAAUAUGCCAAGGAAGUUUUGAAGUAUUAAUUAAUUAUCCUUAGCUUGUAUUAGUAUCAGUUUCUGCAAGAUGUGGAGAAUGAAGUAAAUUCCAUAAAGCAGAUUAAUUUGUUCUGACAUAUUUACUUUGUGUGAACUCCUUUUGACAAGUACUUCUCGAACUGCAACUCCAAACAUUAUUUGAACUAUUAGCAGAUAUAUAUUUACAUAUAUAUUUUGUUUUGGCUCAGUUGAAAGUUUAUUCUGCUAGAGCUAGAGGUAUUUUCUUUAUUCUGCUGAAGCAAUGCAGUGACUUAUUAAACUAUAAGGUAGUUUGCUUUUUAAAUGUUUUAAAUCAAUUACUAGUCCACAUUUAGGAAUUUCUAUUAUAGUGACAAUUAAUGUUAAUUACUGCUUUAUUAUGAUUUUCUUAAUGACAGUAAUCUAUAAUUAAACUCUCAUAGUGAGAUAUUUACCAUUAUAGUAUUAAUAUAAUGUUCUUAAAUGUUUGCAUAAUGGUAGGUAAGAUGAAUAAGCACAUUUUCUUUGGGGCAGAGCCCAUGUUAUAUUUCAUUGAAAUGUUCAAAAGUACUAUUCGGCAAGCUUUGUUCACGUUCUUUUGUUACUUGGAAGUGUCAAAAAUAAAAAAGGAACAGAAGAAAUAUUUCUGUGAGAGAAGAUACAUUAUAGUAGUUAAAUAGAGAACUUUUAGCUUGGCAAACUAGGGAUUUUUUAAUAGCAUGUAUAAUUAAAAUUUGAGAGAUUUUUUUUUUUUUACACUGCUGUUCCACAAACAUUUUGCUUGAGUAGAUAUAACAUUUUGCUUUCUUUUGGAAACCCAAAUAAGAGGGAUAUGAUCAAAAAAUAAGAAAGUGGUAAGAACACACAAACUGAAUAAACAGCUGAACAUACUAAUAAGAGAAAAUGUGUUUGUUGAUUUCAGAAAGGAAUUAAUAUGAAAUAAGAGAAAGUUAACAUAGUCUGUCUCUUUAUCAUCAUUUAGAGACUGUACUUUCUGACAGGAAGUUGCUGCUAGGACAAUAUUAGAGAUUAUUGUUUUCAUAAAGACAGUUCAAAGAUGAAUUAGUAAUAUGUCAAUAAUAAAUGAGUAAUUUAUUAGUAACCGAUCUUGUUAUGAAUGAGAGUGGGGAACUAUUAGAUUAAAGCCAGAAAACUGUAUGAUUGAAUUCAGAAUGGAUAGAGAAGUUUGCAUAAAGGCCUGAGAUCCAAUAAUAUUUGAAUCCUACAUUGUUUUCAGGAACAAUAUACAAAGGGGACAUUAGCAUAAUGGAAAUGAAAGUAUCAGUAGUGCCCUAUAUGCCAAUGUUUAGCUCUGUUUUAAAAAGGGUGAAAAAGCUAAAUUGAAAACACUGGUUUGAGGACUAAAAGCAUCUUCCUCUUAGUUCUAAACUACUGCAUCUUGCCCCUCUUGCUAGAUAUAUGGAGGAAAGAACCGGAAGGGAGUUUGCUUGGAGUGGGUGGGGAAAGAAACACAAAGGUAGAAUCUGUAUCAGCCCUUGAUUAGUUUGUCCGCCCAUUUCAUCCUUGGAGAUGAUGGAGUGGGAAAGUGUUGUCUGUACAUUAGGUUCCUAUGACUGCUGUAAAAAUUUACCCCCAAUUUAGUGACAAAUUUACCACCAACUUAUCUUACAGUUUGGAGGUCAGAAGUGCAAAAUGGAUCUCACUAGACUAAAAUCAAGAGGUCAACAAGGCUGCAUUCCUUUCCUUUCUUUUCUUUUUUUGUAAAAUAUUUAAAGAGGUUUAUUCUGAGCCAACUAUGAGUGAUCAAGGCCUGAGGUACAGUCACAAGAGGCCCUGAGAACAUGUUCUCAAAGUGGUUAGGUUACAGUUUGAUAUACAUUUUAGGGGGACAGAAGUUACAGGCAGACAUUAAUCAAAAAUGUUAGGUGUGUAUUGGUUUAGUCCAGAAAGGUGGGACAACUUGAAGGCGAGAUGCUUCCAGACCAUAGGUGGACUCAUAAAGAGUUUCUGAUUGGAAAUCAGUUGAAAGAGUUACUAUCUUAAGACCUGGAAUCGAUAGAAAGGAGUGUCUCAGUUAAGUGUUUGUGGAGACCAAGCUUCUUUUUCUUUUUUUUUCCAAUAGCUCUUGGGGCACAAGUGUUUUUUGGUUACGUGGAUAAAUUGUAUAGUGGUGAAGUGUAAGAUUUGAGGCUGUAGGGAAAAAUCUGGUUUUUUUGCUUUUUUUUUCAGCUUUUAGAGGCUGCAGAUACUACUUCCAUCUUCAAAGCCAGCAAUGGCUAGUCAUGUCCUGAUUCUUCUGCCUCUCUCUUUCCCCUUGAAGGACCCUUGUGUUUACAUUGUGACUACCUGGAUAAUACAGUUUCUCACUGAUCGUAGAUUGUCUUAUUUACCUUUAACUGAGUGCCAGAUGGACAGGCACAAUCUUCACCCUAGAGAUACAGCUGCUGAGGAUCACGGGGAUGAAAAGCGUGAAUCAGGCUCACACAGCUAAUAUCUCUGGACAUGUCUAGGAUGGCUGAUAAGUUGGGUUCCAAAGAUCCCUCCAGGUAGUGGUUCCUACUGCUGCUAAGUACCAGCUGCAGGCCAUUGUACCAUUCUUCUGAAGUGCUACAGAUUUUAAUCAACCUGUGGAAAGGAUGAUUUAUCGUAUACUCUAAGAAAACAGCCUAGUGACCACUCACCAUCCACAUUUCAUUUGAACUGAGCUGCUCCUUCCUCUUUUUCAUCUACAAUUGGGAGAACUUCAAUAAACUCCAGGCAUCUGAAUUCAUCCUACUGUAUGCUGAAGCUAGUGGUGGAAGAGCAGACCGGGGAGAAGACCAGAGUUGGUAAAGCCAUGGAGGUGGAAAAGAAAACACAAGAUUUUGAAGGAGCUUAUUAUGGAUUCAUCAUGGAUGGCACUUCCAGAUAUCUUUUAAGGCCUGGAAGGGGCAAAACAAUUCAGGAAGCAGUUGAAGAUAAAGAGGUUUACAACGGAAGAGAAGAUCCAGGUGCCUUCAGAGAAAUGCUUGUGGUUAAAAAGAGAUGAAGAUGAGUAUCCCUGGAAAGAGGAAGAGCCAGCCAGGAAAAUUAUACCAUCAGCAAGACUGGCAUCAGCAAGUAGUUCACAGUGUUGAUUGUUCUUGGUUUCGUAGGAUUUUAUAGGAGGUAUGGCACUUAUUUAAAUGGAUUUGUUUCUUUGCUACUCCUAUUCCAUGUUGGCUAGACAGCUUUCCUUGGGGUCUCUCAUCUAUUUCAGUGCCAUUCCAUUCAUCACUCACAAAUCAUUAAUUUGCCUGUGUUGUGUUACCUCCUGAGAUUUUCUGUUUCUGAGUCAAUAGAGUUGAGAGCUAAUGUACAUUUCACAAAUAUUGCUGGGAAAAGGGCUUGGAGCAAGAAUUGAAGAGACUUUCUAUUUUAGUAUUGUAUGUACCAUAAUAACUCAUUCCUUUUAUAUGAGUGUGGAAGAAGGGAACUGCCAGAUUAGAGGCAAGUGCAUCAAAAUCAUUCCUCCAUGUAUUCAGUCAGACAGAGUUAUGUUCAGCUGAACUUAAAUCAUAAGCAGUUAUUGAGCACCAAUAAUAUCCUUAGCAUUGGGCUUGGCUAAGAUAAUGGAAGGAACAUGAAACAUGGUUUUUCUCUCAAAAUAGUCACAAUUAGUUGGAGAGACCAAAAACAACCAUAUAAACAGAUAAAUAAAGAUCAAAAGUAAAUAAUAUUAAUUGUUAAUAAAAGAAAAGGUAUUACAAAGCAGAACUUAAUGAACAAAUAAAUUAUACAGAUAGGAACUGCCAUAGACUUUGAAAGGAAAUGGGGAUAUUUCAGGCUAUAAUAAAUAGUGAAGAUUUUAAGGUAAAGUUUAGUGUUAGAUCUUAGUGUCUUGAGUAUAUAGCUUAAAGUAUAGGCAGGAUUUGAACAUAUGAACAGAAUUAGGAAGGAGCUAUGCAAGGUGGCUUUUUGAGAAAGAUCUGAACAAACACAUUAGGGUGAGAAAUAGCACUGUACAUUUGCAGUAGAGGACAUACGAGUGGAAGCAUUAGGAGUUGGAGUCAGAUGAUGGAGGCUACGGGAGAGAAGCCUGAGGGUUUUGGUUUACUCUAUAAGCAGUCUUUGUUCAGGACAAGGGAAAUAGAACUCUGAUACAGAAAGACAUUGUGAGUAUCAAUAAGGAAUGAAUAGAGCUUGAAAGCAAGAAGACCAUAAGAUUGAUGAGAAUAGAGCAAAGUCCGAGGGAAUAGGCCUGAACAGAUGCAGUACAGUGGGAAAAGGUGAAAGAAACCCUGGGAAGAGGAGGACUGACUCACUCACAAAUGCCUAUCCUCUUUCUGCUUCCUACACAUUAUUCUCAGAGCCAUUGUACUAGUUGAUCUCUCGAUCUGCCAUAAUC
Molecule: long non-coding RNA, 4795 nt
Organism: Cercocebus atys (sooty mangabey)
Lineage: Eukaryota; Metazoa; Chordata; Mammalia; Primates; Cercopithecidae
Exons: 8
Source: RefSeq, a predicted model, not a curated record